UUACCCACCGUCAGCCCAUCUGU
RNAcentral lists this non-coding RNA (23 nucleotides) under Rattus norvegicus (Norway rat). The record is from RNAcentral. Lineage: Eukaryota; Metazoa; Chordata; Mammalia; Rodentia; Muridae.